Molecule: ribosomal RNA, 736 nt
Filed under: uncultured Fusobacterium sp.
Lineage: Bacteria; Fusobacteriati; Fusobacteriota; Fusobacteriia; Fusobacteriales; Fusobacteriaceae
Description: bacterial SSU rRNA
Rfam family: Bacterial small subunit ribosomal RNA
Source: RNAcentral
GAUGAACGCUGACAGAAUGCUUAACACAUGCAAGUCAACUUGAAUUUGGGUUUUUAACUUAGAUUUGGGUGGCGGACGGGUGGGCAACGCGUAAAGAACUUGCCUCACAGCUAGGGACAACAUUUAGAAAUGAAUGCUAAUACCUGAUAUUAUGAUUUUAAGGCAUCUUAGAAUUAUGAAAGCUAUAAGCACUGUGAGAGAGCUUUGCGUCCCAUUAGCUAGUUGGAGAGGUAACAGCUCACCAAGGCAAUGAUGGGUAGCCGGCCUGAGAGGGUGAACGGCCACAAGGGGACUGAGACACGGCCCUUACUCCUACGGGAGGCAGCAGUGGGGAAUAUUGGACAAUGGACCGAGAGUCUGAUCCAGCAAUUCUGUGUGCACGAUGAAGUUUUUCGGAAUGUAAAGUGCUUUCAGUUGGGAAGAAAAAAAUGACGGUACCAACAGAAGAAGUGACGGCUAAAUACGUGCCAGCAGCCGCGGUAAUACGUAUGUCACGAGCGUUAUCCGGAUUUAUUGGGCGUAAAGCGCGUCUAGGUGGUUAUGUAAGUCUGAUGUGAAAAUGCAGGGCUCAACUCUGUAUUGCGUUGGAAACUGUAUAACUAGAGUACUGGAGAGGUAAGCGGAACUACAAGUGUAGAGGUGAAAUUCGUAGAUAUUUGUAGGAAUGCCGAUGGGGAAGCCAGCUUACUGGACAGAUACUGACGCUAAAGCGCGAAAAGCGUGGGUAACAAACAGG